Molecule: ribosomal RNA, 253 nt
Filed under: uncultured bacterium
Lineage: Bacteria
Description: partial 16S ribosomal RNA
Rfam family: Bacterial small subunit ribosomal RNA
Source: RNAcentral
UACAGAGGGUGCGAGCGUUAAUCGGAAUUACUGGGCGUAAAGCGCGCGUAGGCGGCUUUGCAAGUCGGGUGUGAAAUCCCCAGGCUUAACCUGGGAACUGCAUUUGAGACUGCAUUGCUAGAGUAUGGGGGAGGGAAGUGGAAUUUCCGGUGUAGCGGUGAAAUGCGUAGAUAUCGGAAGGAACAUCAGUGGCGAAAGCGACUUCCUGGACCAAUACUGACGCUCAUGUGCGAAAGCGUGGGGAGCAAACAGG